This 771-nucleotide ribosomal RNA is filed under the name Musa schizocarpa. RNAcentral's name for it is "eukaryotic LSU rRNA". It matches the Rfam family "Eukaryotic large subunit ribosomal RNA", at positions 1858 to 2628 of the family's 3401-position model. The record is from RNAcentral. Lineage: Eukaryota; Viridiplantae; Streptophyta; Magnoliopsida; Zingiberales; Musaceae.
AUCAGUCUCCAAGGUGAAUAGCCUCUGGCCCAUGGAACAAUGUAGGCAAGGGAAGUCAGCAAAAUGGAUCCGUAACCGGGAAAAGGAUUGGCUCGAGGGCUGGGCACGGGGUCCCGGCCCCCGAACCCGUCGGCUAUCGGCGGACUGCUCGAAAGCUGCUCUCGCGGCGAGAGCGGUCGCCAGCGUCGGCCGGGGGGAUCGGACCGGGAAUGGCCCCCCGGGGGGGCCUUCCCGGCGUUGAACAGCCAACUCAGACUGGUACGGACAAGGGGAAUCCGACUGUUUAAUUAAAACAAAGCAUUGCGAUGGUCCCCGCGGAUGCUCACGCAAAUGUGAUUUCUGCCCGGUGCUCUGAAUGUCAAAGUGGAGAAAUUCAACCAAAAGCGUAAACGGCGGGGAGUAACUAUGACUCUCUUAAGGUAGCCAAAUGCCUCGUCAUCUAAUUAGUGAUGCGCAUGAAUGGAUUAACGAGAUUCCCACUGUCCCCAUCUACUAUCCAGUGAAACCACAGCCAAGGGAACGGGGCUUGGCAGAAUCAGCGGGGAAAGAAGACCUGUUGAGCUUGACUCUAGUCCGACUUUGUGAACCGACUUGAGAGGUGUAGGAUAAGUCGGAGCCGGUUCAGCCGCGGAAGUGAAAUACCACUACUUUUAACGUUAUUUUACUUAUUCCGUGAGUCGGAGGCGGGGCCCGGCCCCUCCUUUUGGACCCAAGGCCCGCCUAGCGGGCCGAUCCGGCCGGAAGACAUUGUCUAGUGGGGAGUUUGGCUGG